RNAcentral lists this ribosomal RNA (120 nucleotides) under Amborella trichopoda. The record is from RNAcentral. Lineage: Eukaryota; Viridiplantae; Streptophyta; Magnoliopsida; Amborellales; Amborellaceae.
GGGUGCGGUCAUACCAGCACGAAUGCACCGGAAUCCCAUCAGAACUCCGAAGUUAAGCGUGCUUGGGCAAGAGUAGUACUAGGAUGGGUGACCUCUUGGGAAGUCUUUGUGUCGCACCCC